GAAAUAGAACCUGAAACCGGAUGCUUACAAGCAGUUGGAGCCUCUUUAUGAGGUGACAGCGUACCUUUUGUAUAAUGGGUCAGCGACUUAAUCUCAUUAGCAAGCUUAAGCCACAUAGGUGUAGGCGAAGCGAAAGCGAGUCUGAAUAGGGCGAUUUAGUUAAUGGGAUUAGACUCGAAACCGAGUGAUCUAGUCAUGAGCAGGUUGAAAGUGAAGUAAAAUUCACCGGAGGACCGAACCCACUAGCGUUGAAAAGCUACGGGAUGACUUGUGAUUAGGGGUGAAAGGCCAACCAAACUCGGAAAUAGCUAGUUCUCCGCGAAAACUAUUUAGGUAGUGCGUCGUGUGAAUCUUGUCGGGGGUAGAGCACUGAAUGGGCUAGGGGGAAGCAAUUCCUACCAAACCUAAUCAAACUCCGAAUACCGAUAAGUCUGCACGGCAGACAGUCCAUGGGUGCUAAGGUCCUUGGACGAGAGGGAAACAGCCCAGAUCAACAGCUAAGGUCCCCAAAUAAUGAUUAAGUGUGAAAGGGAGUGGGAACUCCAAGACAGCCAGGAGGUUGGCUUAGAAGCAGCCAUCCUUUAAAGAAAGCGUAACAGCUCACUGGUCUAAUUAAGAGAUCCUGCACCGAAAAUGUAACGGGGCUCAAAUCAUUUACCGAAGCUUUGACAAUUACUUUGUAAUUGGGUAGCGGAGCGUUCUGUAAGCCUGUAAAGGUGAUGCGUAAGCAUUGCUGGAGGUAUCAGAAGUGCGAAUGCUGACAUGAGUAACGAUAAGAAAUGUGAAAGACAUUUCCGCCGAAAUCCUAAGGUUUCCUGCGUAAAGCUAAUCUGCGCAGGGUUAGUCGGCCCCUAAGGCGAGGGCGAAAGCCGUAGUCGAUGGGAAGCAGGUUAAUAUUCCUGCACCAGCUGGUAGUGACGGAUGAAGUAAAUUGUAAGUUCUUACUGGAUUGAACUUGCAGUGAAUUUGUCCCUGGAAAUAGCUCCAGCAUUAGACCGUACCAAAACCGACACAGGUAGGAGGGUAGAGAAUACCAAGGCGCUUGAGAGAACUAUGUUGAAGGAACUCGGCAAAUUACACUUGUAACUUCGGGAUAAAAGUGACCUGCUAUUGGGCAACCAGUAGGAGGUGGCACAGAAGAGGGGGUAGCGACUGUUUACUAAAAACAUAGCACUAUGCAAAGUCGAAAGACGACGUAUAUGGUGUGACGCCUGCCCGGUGCCGGAAGGUUAAUAGGAGGGGUGCAAGCCCUGAAUUGAAGCCCCGGUGAACGGCGGCCGUAACUAUAACGGUCCUAAGGUAGCGAAAUUCCUUGUCGGGUAAGUUCCGACCUGCACGAAUGGCGUAACGAUUUCCCCACUGUCUCCAACAUAGACUCAGUGAAAUUGAAUUCUCGGUUAAGAUGCCGAGUAACCGUGGUUAGACGGAAAGACCCCGUGCACCUUUACUGCAGCUUUGUAUUGGUAUUAGGGAACAGAUGUGUAGCAUAGGUGGGAGACUUUGAAGGAGUGGCGCUAGCCAGUCUGGAGUCACCAGUGAAAUACCACUCUUCUGUUCCUUGAUGCCUAACCAUACACCGU
RNAcentral lists this ribosomal RNA (1580 nucleotides) under marine metagenome. Its description in RNAcentral is "bacterial LSU rRNA". It matches the Rfam family "Bacterial large subunit ribosomal RNA", at positions 540 to 2236 of the family's 2925-position model. The record is from RNAcentral.